CACUUGAUGUGCACCUUUGACAUUAAAUGUAUAAUAAAAAUAGCAGAAAUGACAAGUGUCAGGAAGCAGGAGAUGGCCUGGGCAAGUAAUUUAGCAACCUAAUUGACAAGGGAGGAAGUUGAGAAAGCAAACCCACCCAAGUUUAGGGGUAGAACCUAUAGCUAAAAUUCCAUUUAAAUUAUAUUCAGUAUACCUUUUCAAGUAGUUGGGAGGCUGAAUUCACUUGUUUUAUCAAGAAGACUUAUAUCCAAAGUUCUAAAAAUUAAUGAUUAGAAGCUUAAACAAAGCCUCCCUAUAAUAUGACAUCAAUUCUCAGAACUUUGGGGACAUCCCCAUCUUCUCAAAGGACUUUGUUAAUUUUUAAAGCAACUUGACUCCUGUUUCUUAUCUUUAUCAAAUACAAAUUAGUUUCUUAGGGAUCAACAUGGUAUAGUAAGAAAAGAAAUAAGCAUGUGUCAGGAGACAAGGAAUUCAAUAGUUUCUAUUAUGCUGAGAAUUAUCUGAACUUUGAUACCCUUUGUACAAUGAAAAUAACGUUUCCAAAAAUUCUGUAAUUCCAAUUAAGAGUUUAUUGAAAGAAACAUACUUCAAUGCCCAACAUGUUUGCAUUCCAAAUUUUGCAACUAGAAUUCUAAUCUUCACAGUUUUUGAAACAUUCCAUUGAUCAGAUACUGAAUAGCCACAAUAUGAUAUACAAUUGCCUAGUCACUUAAUAUUCUGGAGGAUAUUUGACUCAGUACCAGCCUUUGGGGAUCAAAUAAUUUAGUUUGUGAAACAAAACAUGCCGAAAAGAACAUACAAGUAAAAGGCAGACUAUGACACGAGUCAAUGCUAAAAGUGCCAGGUUGAUAAUAUAAUUGAGAAUUAUAUGGUGGAAAACUAAAGAGCAUGGACCAUUUGAAGGGCAGUUCAAAUGUAGUUUGAUUUCCAAAGUGGAAAGUGCAAUAGGAGAGCAAGCAAAUGACCCAGAAAAUAGUUUAACCAGCUAGUGAAAUCUUUUGAAUAAUGUUAUAAGAAAAUGCAACUCCACUACACAAUAGGAAAAUAGAUAAUUUCUGAAUAAUCAUAUAGAAUUUAAUAUUUAUAUUACUUACCACAGCACACAGACAUCCAAUUAAUUUCUAGGCCAUCAAAAUUUGGUCUUUAUCUCUUAUAAAGAGAACAGGCUCUCAAAAGACACAAAAACUUUACUCAGAACAUAGACAUCACACCUACAGAUAUUCCCAUAAGUAACUUUUGUUUCAGUUAAGAGAGUUUCAAUAAAAUAUGAAAAAAACAUAACUAAGAGCUUGUGGAAGAGUUAAAAAAUCUAAGAUUCCAGUCCUUAGAUCUUAAUCUUUCUAUCAAUUUUUAAAUAAAUAUCAUUUCACAAAGACCUACACAGCAUCCGCACUGUGUUGCUUGCUCAUCUCCACAGUAUUGCAGUGAGCAUAAAACUCCUCUCUUAAGACUCAUUAGAGGCAGUUAUCCCAAAAAUUUGGGGCCAUAAGUUGUUUUCAUGUACAUGUACAUAAUACACAUAUAUACAUAUGUACAUAUAUAUAUAUAUAUUAUAUAUAUACACAUAUGCAUACACGCGCGCACACACACACACACACACACACACACACACACACACACACACACAUACACACGUGCUUCCAGCAUUUGCCUCCACCAAGACCUAAAGAAUGAUUUCUUCUCUCUUCUAGCAUGAAAGUUUGCUGCUUUCUCUACUGAAUUAACUCCAUUUUCAAGAAAGAGCAUUUCAAUACAUUUUUCUGACAGGUAGGAAAUUAACUACAUACUAGAAGCUAUUGAAUUCAACUUUAACAGUAUCAAUAAACAUUUCUGAUUAAAUUAUUGAAAUUGAUUUUAUAAUUUCGACCAUUAUGUUUUUACAUCAAUAUCAUCAUCUGACAGUAAAUGUAGUUACAGCUUCCUUAUUGAUCGCAGACAUGGCACUCUAAAGUACUCAUUUGACUAUAUUACAAAAUCAAACUUGAUUUCCUGUACUACUGCAGUAACUUCACAUCAUAAUCUAGUCUGAAAAAUCAAAAUAGAUGAAUUAUUCAGUUAUUAAAAGAUAUAUUUUUCCUUGGAGGAAAAGAACACUCUGAUGAAGUCAUUCUUAAUAGUUGUGUGAUAGGAUAUUUCUCCAUGUGGCUUACUCUAUGUGGGUCUCACAUAAGCGUAUCAUUGCCUCCCAGCUUGUGUGUGAUCAAUCAUGUUUCUGGUGAAAUGCAUAAAUAGUGCUUGAAGAGAAAGAAAUGUUUAUCCUUCCUAUGUGGGAAUUCAGCAAAAAGCACAUGGUUUCUAUGUUUAAAACUCUGACUCUUGAUCACACUAGUCCAGCUUAUCAAAAUAAGACAAGUAUGUUCAGCCAUUUUAUCUCCCAGAAGAGCAACAUGUCUUCUGUGGCUCUAACUACAUGGUUCUAAAAGUAACCCAAAUGGUGAUGGACUGAGCUAAACUAAACAUUCAUCCUGGAAGUUCAGCAUCUCCUUAGAGACCCAAAUAAGAAGAUUCAAUGCCUGUCAAAACUUUGCCACAAAAGAAUUGCCUUCAAGUCAUGGACUAUAAGGCUACAUGGGAAAUAUCUCAUGUUGUCUACUACUCUGUUUGGGAGAAGAGGAGUGCAAGCCCUAGGUCACCAAGGCAUUUGCUGGAGGAGAAACAGCUGCUCAUGCCAAUAACAGGACCUGACUCCAGUUGUGUUUUCACCUAGAUCAACUCUUUUUUCCCCAUUUUAGUUGUAACUUUUCCUGUAACUUUUCAAAUGACUGAUGAAGUGAAAAUUAAUACUUCAAAUCCAAGAAAAGCUACAUCCACCCCUGAAGCAUGGAUAUUAACACAUACCAGAGACCUUCUAAAACUAUACUAUGGAGAUUUUUAAAAAAUUUGGCCAUCUCUCUAUAUCCAUAAAAUGAAUCUCCUAUCCCAUGUAAAUCCUACUAUUGAAAAAUGUCAUUCAUCUGUUUCAUAAAAGAUCAAGGUAAAUUUAUUCAUAGUGAUACAAAGUAUCAAAUAGAUCAAAUAUGGCUUUUCUAAGAGAAUCUUUAAGUCUUUGUCACAGCUUUGAGUUUAAAUGAUUAGAUAAUCACACCUCCUCCUUACUAUUCUUUAACCUUAAAUUAACAUUUGAUAAAUGCAAGCUCUUGAAAAAGUGUUCUGCUGUAAUUCAGGUGGAAUAAAAGUAUUAAAGUAUAGGCUUUUAUUGAGCAUACCCUAGAAUCUUCAAGUUGAAUGCAGCCACUCAGCUUCCUAGCUAGCUCCAAAGAGAGAAGGUCAGGGCCAUCAUUCCUAGAAGAUACCCACCUGGUCUCACAUACUAGGUCCACAGCCAUGAUCUUUUCCUUUUCUGAGAGGUCAUGGCAUUUGUAGAUAACCAUGAAGAGUGGAAGUUUUCAUUUAUAAAAGAGUACAAUAUUUUUGCCGAUUUAGUUCACACUUCUAAAGAGUUUAUUAAAACUAUUAAUUUAAACACUGAGACAAGGGGCUGGAGAGAUGGCUCAACUCUUAAGAGCAUUGACUGCUCUUCCAAGAGGAUCCUGGUUCAAUUCCCAUCACCCACAUGGCAGCUCACAACUGUCUGUAACUCCAGUUCCACAGGACUUGACACCUUCACACAGACAUACACACAGGCAAAACACCAUUGCAAUAUAAUAAAAUUAAUAAAUUUUUUAAAAGUGAGAAAAGUCAUAGAAAUUAGGCCCCUAUUUUUUUAAAAAAAGAUUUAUUCAUUUUAUUUUAUGUUUAUGUGUUUUGCCUGAGUCUGUAUAUUUGCUCAAUGAGCAUGUAUUAGCCCCCUAUCUUAUUAUGACAAUAUUGUAUUGGCUUAGUUUUCGAAAAGUAAGCAGAUAUCUGAGACUAAAAUAAUUCCAGAAAGCUUGAAAAAGACAAAACAGUCAAAGUCUAGUAUUUUUUCUUUGUUUACUUUCUUGGUAUAGUGUUGGAUUUCUUCAAAGGGAGAGAGACGUGGCAAGGCGGUUGUGGUGUCAGAGUGUUUCACUAUUUGUCACCCCGAGAAUGAAGAUAAGCACCACUCUAAGCUGAAUGAUACCUAUUGUUUAUUCACCAGUGACCACAUAUGAACAAAUAGGCCUUUUAGAUAGAUUAUUUUUAAUUACUAGGUAAGACAGUGGACUGGAAGCUACUGCUACAGAACCAUGUUAAGGAGAAGAAUCAGGAAAAGAAUAAUAUAUGUUAUAAGAAAGAAAGAUGGCCAGUGACAUAACUCAGCUGGUGAAGGUGCAUGCCACUAAGUCUGCUUGCCUGAGUUUGACCCCCAGAAGGAGAUCACUUGACUUCCUCAUGUGUACCAUGAUACUUGGGUUCUACCCCAACAAAUAAAUAUAAUAAAAUAUCUUAGUCAAUAAAAGAAAAGAAUAGCUUUUGAAAUCCACAAGAGGUGUGACAGGGCAUUUCAAGGGUUAGAAUCCCCUGCAUCCUAAGCCACAUCUCUCCAGCAGUAUGAUUCAUGCUUAAUAAGGUCCGAGUGUACCACAUCUCUCCAGAAUGAUGAUUCAUGAUUAGUGAGGUCCAAGUGUACCACAUCCCUCCAGCAGGAUGCUUAGUGAGAUACAAGUGUACCACAUCACUCCAUCAGGAUGAUUCAUACUUAGUGAGGUCCUAGUGUACCACAUCUCUCCAGCAGGAUGAUCAAUGCUGGGGACAGAUUUACAGAUCUUAGCAUUGUAGCUAUUUCUGUCAUUCCUAAUUUACAUGAGAGACACCCAGUCCCAGCUACGACUAAUCAGCCAUCAUAGCUCUUUUCUUAUUAACUUGACGCAUCAACUUUUGGGUGGGAAUUUAUUUUUUGUUUUGCUUUGUUUCUUAUCUCAACUGCAGUUUCCCCUCUGUCCUCUCCAAAAGCAGGUCUCCCAUGGAUAUCAACCAAACAUGGCAUAUCUAGUUUCAGUGAAACUAGGUACCUCUUAAUCCUAUUAAGUCUAAAUGAGGCAACCCACCAGGAGAAAAGGGUCCCAAAGGUAGACUACAGAGACAGAGACAGUCCCUGCUUCCACUGUUAGGAGUUUCACAAGAAGACUAGGCUACACAACUGUUAACAUAUAUGCAGAAGACGUAGGUCUGUCCCAUGUAGGGUCCCACUUGUCAGUUCAGUCUCUGUGAGCCCCUAUGAAACUAGGUUAGUUGAUUCUGUGGGUUUUCUUAUGAUAUCUUUGGGCCCCCUGACUCCUACAAUCCUUCCUCCCCCUCUUCUAUAAGCUCCCCCAAGAUCUGCCUAAUGUUUGGUUGUGGGUCUCUGCAUCUGUUUCCAUCAGUUGCUGGGUGAAGUCUCUCUGUAGACAAUUGGGCUAGGCGCCAACUUAUGAGUAUAGCAAAUUAUCAUUAGUAAUCAUUUCAUUGAUAUUUUUUACAGUCCUGUUUGGUUCUAUCCUAGGUCUCUGGGCUAUCCUGCCUCUGGUUCCUGACCCUCCAGGCAGUGUCAGAGGUGAACUCCCUCUCAUGGCAUGGGUCUCAAGAUGUACCAGUCAUUGCUUGGCCAUUUAGCUAGGGUCACCUUCAUAGAUUUCUAGGAGUUUCCAUUGCACUAGUGUAGCAUGAGUUCUAGUUGGUAUUAAUAAUAAAAACCUAGAUACUGGGGUAAAAGUGAAAGAUCAUAGUAGUAAAGGAGCCAGCCACUUGAGAGACUUCUUAUCUCUACUGAAUCCUCAAACCAAAUGGGUAAAAUCCUGUCUCUAGGAAUCCUCAGACGGAAUGCAAUGAGCUCCUGUUUCCUCCUGUCUCUACUUCCCUAGUGCGGGGAUUAAAGGUAAGUGACUCCUAAGUACUGGGAUGAAAGGUGUGAGCAACCACAGCCUGGCUCUGUUUCUUUUUGAGACUGAAUCAAUCUCGUGUAGCCCAGGGUGGCCUUGAACUCACAGAGAUCCAUCUGCCUCUGCCCCCAAAUACUGGGAUUAAUGGUGUGUGCCACCACUGUCUGGCCUUUAAGGCUAACUAGUGGCUUAUUUCUAUACUUUGAUCUUUAGGCAAGUUUUAUUUGUUAGAACACAAAAUAUCACCACACACUAGGUUUCUAGAUCUUCCCAGAGAUGUCUGCAGAUUCCAAUUGUCUCUCAUGGUACUCUCUUUUUCCAUCCUCCCCCGACCUGAAGGAGUUUUAGGACAGUCAUGGCUAAACAGAGAAACCCUGUCUCAAACAACAACAACAAAGAGCUGUUGUAACAAACCAUAAUUUGAUGGGAGCAGAAGGGAUCAUGUACGGGGAAGAUGGAAGGAGAGAGCAUAGCUUUUUAAAAAUGGUUAAUUUUUUUGUAUGAGAUUUGAUUUAGAGGUAUAUGUUGAGCCUUAUGGGGUUGACUCCACAGCUCCCUGAAUUUGUGAAUAUCAAAUAGCUUAGCCUGAAGGGAUGAGGCCCCUUGUCCAUCCAUGAUCAAUUGUUGAUGGGCCCGUUCUUGUACAGACCUGGUACAGACAUCUGUGGCUACUUUCAAUGCUUUCAAUAGUUACGUUUUGCCCAGAAGAUGGCAAUUUGCCACCCUCCCCCCAUCUUCUAGCUCUUGCAUUCUUUCAGAUCCCCAUUCAGCAAUGUCCCCAGACUCUUAGUGGAUACAAAUAUCUUGUUUGGUGUUGGGAACUCAUUUGUCACUUAUUCUUGUUAUUUUAUGACACCACCACGUGUAUGCCUGACACCCACAAGUGUCAAGAGAGAGAGCAUUUAGUUCUCUGGAACUAGAGCUACAGAUGAUUUGUAAGACACCACGUGGAUGCUGGAAUUGAACCCAGGUCCUGUACAAGAACAACAAGUGCUCUUAACCACUGACCCAUUUUUCCCAUUCCCUCCAAGCUAAUUUUCAAUAAAUUAUGCUUAGUUUGGCUACAAGAUGGUAAGUGUCCACACAUCUUUUUAUAACCCCCUUUGUUUUCAUUAGUUCUUCCUCACACCCCUACUUUCUACUAUCUUCCCACAUUUUGUUGCUUAUGCCUUCUUACCCGCACCCCGAUACUUCCCUUUUCUUCCUUCACAAUGCUCACACUUUCCUAUCCCUUAUGGAAUGUUCCUUCCAAAUGUCCCCUUCUAGUUCCUUUCACCUACAGGUACUCCAUGUUGAAUGCAUAAAAUUAGAGUUUGCAAGCAACAGUCAUCCACGUGUGAAGGAAAACAUGCAGCAUUAGCUUUCUGUGCCUGGGUUAAUUCAAUCAAUGUAAUUUUUUCAUGAACCAGGUCUAUAAAUUCCAAAUUUAUCUCAGAAUUCCAUAAGAAUUGCUUGUUAUGCUCUGCUUAUAGCUUCAAAUGCUUUUCAAGCUCAAAGUUCUGAACUUUUCCACAUUCCUCCCACAAACCAAUUCCAAAGUCUAAGUACCACAUGGUCAGGCUUACCACCUUCAGUAUUAAUUUUCUGAGUUAGUUAGGGUCUUCCAGAAGAACAGAACUAAUAGAAUGGAUAUAAAUUUAAAUGGCUUUAUUAAAUUGGCCUCCACAAUCCAAUCUCUGUAAUCCAACAAUGGCCACUCUUUUUUUUCAAGGUCUAGUGGUAUAUCAUUAAAUUACAUGUUUGAGGUCUCUCAUAUUCAUUAAUGCAGACAUUUAGAAUUCUAUUCUUCCACCAAUGGAAUGCUUUCAUUAUAAACCAUAGGAUUUGCAAUGUUGUAUUUUCAUUUUAUUCUAGGGUAUUUUAUAUAUCACAUUAUACCUCCAGUGGCACAUUUAUUAUUGAAUAGUGUACUAUUUACUCUCCAUGAGUUCCAUGGCUCCUGAGAAGUUAAGUGUGUUUUAUAGUUUGGGAUAGAAUGUUCUACAGUUAUUUAAGCCCAUUUGAUUUGUGAUAUCAUUUCAUCUCAAUGUUUCUUUGUCUCUCUUUACUUUCUAUAUUUCUUCCCUCCUUCUUUUCUUUCUUUCUUUCUUCCUUUCUGCUAUAAUGGCUUACCAAAUGAUUGAAGUGGGAUAUUGAAGUCAUCCACUACAAUUUUACUGAGGCUAAUCUGUGUCUUUAUGUCUAAAGUGUUCUAAAGUGUGUGUUUUAUUAAAUUAGGUACAUCCAAGUUUGGUGAGUAUAUAUUUAGAAUUUUCUACUCUACUUGUAUUUAUUCCUUAGUCAGAAUGAAAUGGCCAUCUUUAUCUCUUCGAGUCCAAAGAGAUUUUUGUUUGAAAACUAUUUUGUCAAGCAGACUUGCUUCCUACUUCUAUUUGCUUAGAAUACAUUUGUCAUACUUUUACCAUAAGCUUAAGUCUAUCUUUUAUGAAAAGAAGUGAUUCUUGGAGGUAGCAAAUUUAUGGAUCUUAUUUUUCUAAUUAAUUAAUUUUACAUAUAUAUAUAUAUAUAUAUAUGUUUUAUGCAAUGCAAUGUGUGUGGUGGUGGUGCUGGUGGUACUGCUGGUGGUGAUUAGGACAUUCAUUUGGAGGUCAGAGAACAACUUGGAGGUUGUUCUUUCCUUUUAACUUUAUGUGCAUUCCUGAUUUCAUUAAAGGUCAUCAGGUUUAUACAGCAAGUGCUUCACUCACUGAUCUCUCUUGGGUCCUUUUUAAAAAUUAUUUAUUUAUUUCUGUGUGUAUGUGCGUGUAUGUGCCAUGUUGUGCAUGUGAAGGGCAGAGCACAGCUUGUGGAACUUGAUUCUCCCUUUUCACAGUGAGGGUCCUGACAAUAAAACUCAGACCAUCAAGGUUGGCAACAAGUGCUCUACCUACUGAGCUAUCUCACCAGACUCUCAAUCAUGAUUUUCCAUGAAAUAUUUCAAUCAUCUUUUAGUUGUGGAGUUGAUAAGAUUAAUUUUCAGUGUUAGAGAGAUGUUUGUUUUUAUUUCCCAUCAUUUUGUUGACUUUACUGCAUAUGAUCUUUUCUUAAUCUUCAUAUGCCUACCGGAUGUCUACCAUCUGUAAUAUUUACCUAUAGUCUAUUGUAUAUGUUUAUUAUUCCUUCCAUUAUCAUUUAUAGAGGUAGUGCAAUGAUCAUGGUCAUAAAUUCUUCCAGUCUGAUUUUAUCAUGGAAUGUUUUUCUUUCUCCUUUAAUCAUGACAGAUAGUUUUGCUGGGUAUAUUAGUCUAGAUUCAUAGUUGUAGUCCUUCAGAAAUUGAAAUACAUCAUUGCAAGCUCUUCUUGUGUUUAAAAUUUUAUGGGCCUACCUAUAUAUGUGACUUAAUAUUUCUCUAUAUAAACUUUUCAUACAUUUCCUUCAGUAUUAGUAUUCUAAACAUAAAAUGAUAUGAGGAUUGUCUUUUCAAGUCCUGCCUAUACAUUCUGUAUUCCUCUUGUAUUGGGAAAGACCUGUUUUUCACUAGAGUUGGAAAUUUUUUUGCUAUGGUUGCCUUGAAAGUAUUUUAUAUGCUUUCAGUAAUGAUCUCUAUGAACAUAAUUCAUAUAUUUGAUGUUUUAAGACUAUCACAAAGAGUUUUCAUUUAUAUAUAUAUAUAUAUAUAUAUAUAUAUAUAUAUAAUGGAAAAUGAAAAAUACUUAUCUCAAAAAUUGUCAGUGUACUUAAUUAGAUAUGCAAAUUCUGCAUUGUCUUUAACCCCUGAUAUGUGACCUUCCAGGUAUUCCAUUCUUUCAGUAAGGCUUUCCUCCAAUUUUUUAUUUGAUUCAUUUAACUUCUAACAUAUAGCAUGUCAGAUCGUGUUUUCUGUAGCAUGUCUAAGCCAAUUUUCACACCCUAUAUUGACUGCCUUAUUUCAUUCAGAUAUUUACUCAUAUUUGUAUACAUUCUUUUAAAUACACUUAAAAUUGCUCUUUUGAAAUAUUUGUCUGAAAAUUGGCCUAGAUUUUUUGUUAUUUGAGGUUACUAUUCCAGUGUUGGAAUAAUUUUUGGUGAUGACAAGUCUCUCUCUCUCUCUCUCUCUCUCUCUCUCUCUCUCUCUCUCUCUGUGUGUGUGUGUGUGUGUGUGUGUGUGUGUGUGUGUGUGUUGCCUGUGUUUUUCUACUGGAAUUUUAGUAUCAGGAAUUUAACUGUUGUGGGGUUCUUUCUUUCUUUCUUGGGUCAUCUUUCUUCUUUCAGUGGUAUCAUUAGCAAUGUUCUAAAAACAUUAGGUUAUCAUAUGAUUGAGGUAUCAUUUUAUUCUUUUGGGCUGGGUAUUCAGGUUAUCAAGUUAUGUCCUCAGAAUUCCCUUGAGGAUAAAUAACUGUCUACAACAUUGUACAGUAUCUAGGGGUAUGCCCCUUAUUUGGGAUUUCCUUCUGUUGUCCCUAGUAUUCCUAUUUCAGCUGCCUUGUCUUUGGAAGUUCCUCUGUGUUUCAUGGCCACCUUCCUGUCUUCUCUACUUCUGAAGACUCUUCUAGAUCUGCCACAGGGACUAGCUCUGGCUCUGGCAAUUACUCUUAUUCUGGUUCUGGCUCUUACUCCAGAAUUGGCUUUGGCUUUGGUUAUGGUUCUAUACAAGACACUGGUUUGAGCUGUAAUUUAUAUCUAUAACUGAUUGUAUAAGUGUGUUCCUACCAUUCAGAAUAAUUUUAUUGCAUUGAAUGAAUGCUUGAGUGGGUACUGGGUGUUUCUUCAGGUUAGUUUGUCUUGGAUUAGCUAGAUGCUGCAUGAAGUUUCGUUCUGAGAUAUUGUAGAUUCACAAGUGGAGUAGCUGUAGUGAUCCAAGCUUGACAGAACGACACAUGCACACAAGUCUUUCACUUCAUAGUGAGAGCCAGCUUAAGGUACAGAGUAAUCAACUCUUAUCCUCACCUUGCAGGAAUGUUGGAACUCUCUGAUAUUAUUACCCAAGAGACCACUACUCCCCAUGAAGCCAGACAUUGAUUCCUCAGAUUGGGUCAGAGACAAUAUUUGUCUCUUACUUUUGGAGCCCAAAGAUGCUCAUGCAGAUGAAUCUCCAGCCAGUUUACUACUUUAGCCAAUCAUCAUAGGCAGAGAUGAAUACACAAAACGGCAUACAUAAAAAUUGUUUUAUCAAUUCUGGGUGCACUCUUAGAUGGUAAGUGGAAUUUUUUCCCAAAGAACACUGAGAUUGCAUAGUAUAUUUGGGUUGGUUAAAUGUUCAUGUUUAUAACGUAUAUUUGGGUUGGUUAAAUGUUCAUGUUUAUAACAUGAUAUGUUUGUAUCUAAUAAAUACAUUUCAUAAAACCAUCUCUCAUGUGUACAUAAAAUGUAACGAAGACCUCUCAGAAUGUACUCAAGUUCAAAUAUAAGAAGAUAAGUCUUUAUUGUCCUUCAAUAAAUGUGUCACCCAAACAGUAUUGAUGGUGGAGAUAGUAGAGAUCAUUUAUCUCGUUUUAACUGGCUUUGCCAUGUGAUUCAAGAUUAAUCCAAAUGGCUUUCACAUCCCAAGCAUUGAAAUAAAGAUGAAACCAAAAUCAAAAAUCAAAAAUCAGGCUAUGUGAAAAGGAAAAUAAAAUGAAGCAAGUGAGCAUGGUGCUAAACAAGAUCUGAACUUCAAUGUUACAUAACCAAACAACAGCUCAGCAUAAGGCUCAAUGCAGCCCUCACAUGGCAGGUGUUUCUAAGGCACCUUCUUCAUAAUUUUUCACAAACAGCACAAAAAUACCCACAAAUAAGACCAUGAACUCUUUUACUAGACACUCUCCAAAUUACAUAAGUGAAUGAGUAAGUAUUCUUUACAAGUAAUGCCAGGUCAAAAUUCAAAAGUCCUUUUGUCAGUAAGGGUUGGUAAGUAGUUGUCUGUAAGGGUUGUCAGGCAACUGAUGCCAAGAGUUAGAGAAUCAUGGAAAAACUCCCCAAACUUGGGGAUUACCUUGCAUUUAACUACAGCAGUCUGAAGCAAAUUUGCCUCCUGCCUGGUGUGCCGAAGUUGUUACCAGGGGGACUAGGAUUCACUAACUAGUUGCAUCUUUAGAUACAUUAAGAAACAGAUUAAUAAAAGGAAAAUGCAUUUCUUUGCAGUUUGUCCAAGCCAUGGAAAGACAAAUCAAGUUUUUCUUUGCCUUUUCUAUAGCAGUUUCGAGUCAAUAGAAAACAUUACACAGUAGCCAAGAGAGAUAGAUGUGUUGGUUUACACCCUGGAACUAUGAGAAAUCUCUCUGUAUGAGUAAAGUUUCUCUCCUGUGGAGAGCUAGGUCUAUAGAUACCACUUUUAUCCCCAUUCCUUCCUCUGAUGAUUUUGAAAUAUUUCUUUUCCUGUUGUCAAAAGUAAACUUUGUUCAUUGUAAGAGAAAUAAGAAAAACUUUAUAAAUAAGUUUAUCAAUAAUUCCAUAUUCAGAGAUAGCUAGAAUUGACAUUUGAAUAUAUAGCUUUUUUUAAUUUGUAAGUGGGCAUGUCAGUUUUAAACAUACACUCAAUUAUUGAGUAAAAUUUCAAUUCAGAGACUUUUAUUUCUUUUAAUUUACUGUUAUAUGCUGUGUUUUUAAUUUUAGAUAUGUCCUUUAGUUGAAGUUUUUUGUUUUUGUUUUUGUUUUUUUUCUCAAGAGGCAAAACUAAAUUUUCUAAUAAAAUUCCUUCAGUCAGGAACAAUCUUUCUUUUAGGCUUUCAUCCUUUUCUUUACCUUCCUGCACUCCCACCAGCAGCCAGGACCAUUUGUUAGACAAGAAUGGAUGUUUAAUAAAGAUGUCCUGAGCAGAACUGAGUGGAAGGCUGUGGGAUGCACCAGUAAGAGGCAGACUGAGUGCCUAGCCUUCCUCUCUUAGUCUUGCUACAUACAGGAUAUCACAGCUUGAAGUGAGCUGUGGAAGGUUCCUUGGCUGGGUGCACAGCAACACACCUGCUGAGUUACAAGCCUGAUGAAUCAUUUGCCUGGUUAUCUUGCUAGUCAUGCUGAACUGAAAGCCACUUUCAAAACAUAACAGGCCAAGCAGGGACUCUCUUCUGGGCUAGUGUUUUCUCUACAAAUAGUCUCCUUAUCACUUUUUAAACAUCUACAAUAAUACAAAAACAGUAUUCAAAGCCAUUCCCCACCACCACUGACUUUUGUAAAGAGAAUUGUGUUGCAUGUUGCUGAGCAAGUUAGGAUUGACUCCUAGCUUUAUAUGUCCAGUAAAAGCAAGCAAAGCCAUCCAUCACAGGAUAAACUGAUAAGCAGGCGUAAAGCCUAGCCAGGUAUUUCCUUUGAGUGACAAUCCAAACAAAACCUCUUUCUAAACUUGUUCUUUUUUUAAAAAAGUUUAAAUUUACAUUUAUUUGUAAAUUUAUUUACUUAGCAGGUCAGAUGGGUGUUGUGCAUGCUCCAUGGCACUAUAUGUGGAGAUCAGAGAGCCAGUUCUCUCCUACCAUGUGAGAUCCAGUGACAGAACUCGGGUCAUUGGGCUUGGCAGCGUGCACCUUUACCUGCUUAACUGUCGCACAUGCCCAUACUUGUUCUUCAUAUGCCCUGACAAGUCCUCAAUAAUCUAAAUACUAAUGGACCUGAUCACUUGUGUUUUGUCUUUUAAUUUACUUCCUUGAGAAACUUAAUGGCCAUUUGCUACAGCUCCUGAAUUUCCCCUCCCUUCUGUUUCAAACUUCCUUAUGGAUCUCCUCCCCUUAUAGAGAUGAUCUGUGAAGAUGACUGAAAAUAAUCAACAACAUAAUCUUAGUAACUAGACCAAAGGCCUAAUUUUGGCAUCAGGGACCUCUGUUUGCCUUGCAUGAUGUAAGGUCUUCAACUGGGUCAAUUAUGGUUCAGAAUCAACCCCUACUUAAGAUGUUCAUUGGACUACUGUUGGCCUAAUCUUCCUUACACAGCUUGGUCUGCUAUACAUUCAGCUAACUCCUCCCAUUUGAAGAGAUCCAUAGGGAAGACUGGGACACAAGAGAGUUGCAGCAAAGGAACACUAGCUUUUGCAAGGAAGUAAAUUAAAAGACAAAACAAAAAUCACCAGGCAGCUAAAUGAGAAGGUGUACAUGGAGGCCAUAAUCUACUUUCCAAGCCCCCCCCACCACCUCUAUUGUUUCAUUUGGUACUUAUUCAUUUUGAGGAAACAUUUCAUAUCUCCAAAGAAGAUUAACUUUCUCAGGGUCAUCCCAUAGGUUUCUUUCUUUUCUUCUCACACUCCCUGAUUCUUUUGUUCCUCUAUUCUAAAUAACUUACUAACAUUUGACAUCACAUUAGUGUUUCUACUUAACAGCAUUUAGUGUAUUCUUUAAUAACUCAAAAGGAAUUACAAUUGUGUUUAAAAAGAAAACACAGCCAUAAAUUAUUACCCUGAAUUUUACUUAAAAGUAGGAUCUCGUUUCUAUUGUCAAACAAACAAUUCAUAAAUUCAAACACCCCAAAGAUGAAAAGAUACCAAAAUGGCAGCUAGUCUAUACCCUGGUUUUUUGGGUUUUUUUGCAUUCAAAGUGUUGUUAAUAGGGACUCUCUUGAGAGUGACUUCAGUGAGAGUAACUUCAAUUCUACUAGAAAAUUCAUGGUAAAUGGUAAUAGAAAGGAGAAAAUGUCCCAAAGAGAUGAUGACUCCCACUGGGAACAGAAGGCAGAAGCCCUAAGAUGAGUGUCCCCUCUCAGAAAAGCCAAGAGAGAAACUCCCUACCUGAGACUGGUGUAAACAGACUAUGGAUUUCUCUGUGUAAGACUGCAAGCUGGGCAUGGUGGUGCAUGCCUUUAAUCUCAGCACACUCAGGAGACAGAAGCAGGUAGAUCUGAUCCGUGUGAGUUAGCAGCCUGGUUAGCUGCCUGGUCUACCAAGUGACUUGAAAGACAGCUAGGAAAGCAGAGAAAGAACCUAUUUGAAACAAAACAGAACAGAACACAGGAAUGCCAAGGAGCAUUCUGGACUCAGAAGAACAUGUAACAGUUUGGAAAGACAGGAGUUAACUGGGCUAACCCUGUACACAGAUGGUUCGCUAUGGAACAACCAUGAAUUACAGGAUUUCCUACAGCCCCUCUUCCUUCUACCCAUCUUAAGGAAUGUAGCAGGUCUACAGGCCCAAAUCCCAGACCUUCCUUCAGGUUGUUGGUGUGAACAGUGGGAAGAGCUGAACAUCGGUGUGAGCUGGUAAAGACAGUAGCUGGAGAGAAAGCUGAUGAGAAGACAGGAGGAGUCAGGCAUUAAUGAGCUUGCAUUCAGUAAGAAGCUGUGCAACCAAAAUCUAUUUUGGGAAAGAACAGCUACUAUUCUUGUGGGAAUUUCCUAUAAGGACAGAAACAGAGCAAUAAUUGGGUUGUUGGGUUGUUUGUUUUGUUUUGUUUUGUUUUCUUCUGUAGUGGGGGUGUUCUCUCACAGUGGCAUCUUCUAAAACAUAGGAAUCGUUAUGAUUCCUACGGAGGGCCAGGCCUACUUUAAGGGCUGGACACUGUCAUAGUACUUCAACUUGCCACUGUUACUUGAAGGCAGAGAAUAGAUAAACAGGGGUGACUAUAUUUCCAAAAACCUUCUUUUUUUUGAAACAAAACAAUUGUUUAAACACUUUGGUCUGUAGUCCCAUUAUUUUCCCACCCAUUCUUUUAUGCAUGAAUCUUUGAGUCACUUUUUCCUCUGACCCUUUCUGCUAAUCUAUGUCAUGUCAUGAAGACAAGGCCAGGUAUCCCAGUGGUCACAUGAGGAUAAAGUGGCAGUGCAGGGGACAGAGGAAGCAGUGGAGGUUACAUCAAGGGAACCUGCCUGUCAGAAUAGAACAAACUGUUACUUCUCCCUCUAUAUUUUUGUUGUUUCUUUUGUUUGUAGCCCAUGCUGAGCUUGAACUCAUAGCAAUCCUUCCCCAAAGCCUCCUGAGUUCUGAGAUUAUAGUUGUGUAUCACCACACCCAGCUCUGUUUAUUGCUUUUGAUUGUGGUGUCCAAGAAUGAUCACAAAGGGCAAGUUUUACAAUGAAAACUGUAGCUCAAGAAACAAAAAGGUAGAGAGAAGCUGAGACACGGUGACUCCUCAGCCAAUUGACACUGGGAACUUUGAGGAGCUGAAAAAGAAGUGACAGAUAAGAAAAGUAGCAUUUGGGAGCAGGGUGGCCUGGAUUGGACUAGAAGGGGGCUUGUGUUGUGUUGUGGUUUUAUUUAACAAUUAUCAUUGACUUCAUCAGUUUCUAUAAAACUUCUACACAAUAGUUAGAAAGCAAAGGGGAACAGUAAACAGCAUUUGGAGGUUGGAGAGAUGACUCAGUGGUUAAGAACACGGGUUCCUCUUCCAGAGACAGGGUUUCAAGUCCAAACCCCCACAUAGUGGCUCACAAUCAUCUCUAACUCCAGUUUUAGAAGUUAAAACUACCUCUUCCAUCCUGCAAUGGGCACCAGGCACACACAUGGUACACAGACAUACAUGUAGGCAAAACACUCGUAUGAAUAAAAUAAAAAUUAAUUAAAAAAACGAAAGAAGUAGGAUUAGACUAUCUUUCAGAGGGACAAGUCACAAGGAGUAAGAAAAUCUCCAGGGAGAGGGGGAGACCAUGUUUGGCUAAGGAGCAGCUGGCUCCCAAAGAGCAGGAGGUCCCUUGGCUUCUUGAUACGUAGGAAGAAUUUGGAGGCUACGGCAUUGACCAUUUUUGCACCAACACACAUUUCUUGAGUCAUGGAACGCAUUAGAGACAGGAAGGAAAAGCUCAGCUUUGCCUGAGGAUAGAUUUAUAAUUUCAGGGUGAGGCAGGCCUGCACUUUGAGCUGUCUCUUAUAGAUGAUACUUCUCACCCAUUUCAUCCCAUUUUCACAGGAAUUCAGACAUACCUGGAGGCGAGCAACUUCAAUUUUCUAUCAGACAGUAGGAUCAACUGAAUAGAUGUUUGUCAUGUUUUGCAAAGGAUCCAGAUUAUUUAGAAGCAUCCCAUUGGCUGGUUAAUUCACUUUUUACCUUAAUAGUUGCAAUUCUCAGAAACAAAUUGAGGUAGUCAAAAAUCAGUAUACAGUUUUCCAGGAGACUUUCCAAGAAAUGGCUGUUUCCUUCUUGACUAAUUAGCCACUGUGUAGUGAGUAAUAUGAAAUGCCCCUUGUCAUGCUGGUUUCCACAAGGCAAACUGGUUAUAUUUCUUGGGGGUUUCCCACCUUCCUCUCUGGUGAUAUUAACUAACAGUGUGUUCUCUGCCAAACGCAUCAAUUCUCAAAGAAAGCCCUCUCCACAUUCAACGCCCAUUAUUUUUUCUAUAAGUUACAGCUUUUAUUUACAGAAUAAUUAAAUUUCAACCUACAAGAAAAAAAUGUAAUCCACACUGUUUUGUACUUGAAGCACCGAAAACACAGAUGAUACUGUGAUUUGACCAAUGUCACACAGCUAUGGCUAGUUAGUUGGAGGUGAGAGCGUACCCUCCUCCCACCUCCCCACAGCACUCUCUAUCACCUUGUUCCAUCUCAUCUUUCAUAUAAAAAUCUGCCAUAUCAUUUUACUUCCUAUAAAAACUUACAGCCUACUGGAUUGCACGAUCAAAUUCUUGAAUUGAAUAAGUGCAUGGUAGACGAAACAUGACUUCUAGAUCUCUCCCUAAAAUAAGAACAGUUCUCAUCUGUCUCCUUUGGGACCUAUUGAUCCUCAUGGGCUUAUCUGUAUGAUCUUGAAUAAAUUUCUUCCGUUCCUGUGAGCAUCAAUUUCUUCACCUAAACCUCAACAUCCUACUUUGGUACUCACCUAUACCAUUAUCGCUGGGAGGAUCAGGAGAUUCACCAUUUGCUCUUAGCCAAAGAUGGAAAAGAAAUGAUCAGUGAAGAAAAAGCUGGGGAGCUAUGUCACUCAUUCUCAAAGACACCUAAAUGUUCAAAGUCAUUAUGAUGACACUGCCAACAAAGCUAAAUAUCCUUUAAAUAGCACUCUGCAUUAGCACCAAAAUUCCCCCAAAGGAGCGAGAACUGGCCAUAUUGAGUUUAACCUGACAAUCUGGCAUUGAGAAAUACAGCUGAUAAAUCACCAUCAGAAAUUAGCCAGGUGCAAAGGAAAGAAGGGCUGAGUGGGAGGAGAGAUGAGGCUUAUAUAAUGCCAGCAAGAAAAAAAAAAAAACGUUGCUAAUGAAGGCCUGGCCAAAUGGUAGAGCAGGAGAAAGGGCUGGGGUUAUCCACACACAUUUGUGGCUGAAGUGGAAGGACUGUGUGGCCAGGAGGGACUCCCUCACCGGGGACCUCCAGGCCUCACAGAGCAGACCAUAACAAGUCUUUUCUGAGCCAUGACACAGAUUUGUCCUUUUGUCUCAGAACAAAACAGAUGAUACUGCUAUCAUGAGCCAUCAAAGGUCAACAACUGAGACAACUGAGAGGAGAACCAGUUUCUGUGUGUGUGUGUGUGUGUGUGUGUGUGUGUGUGUUUUUUAACAAGUACAUUUAUAUAGCUAUGUAUAUAGGUAUGCCCUUCUUGUUGGCCAGGGUGGUUACCAGAAAAACCCUUGUUAUUUUAAUUGGGACCUUCUGAAUAUGUGCAUGAUACUUGCAACUCAAAGUGGUGAUGUCAGUACUGGGAGUGGUUCAGAGUUCCCAGGCAGCCAGAGGACUAUUUCGGGCUCCCAAUCCUCCUGCCAAAUAGGGUAUAGGCCAAAAUAUUUCUUUUGCAUUUAUUUCGGGGUUUUAAUCUCAUGUGCAACUAAACCCCAUUAAAUGAGUUCCACUUUCCCAGGCCUAUCCCUUGCUUUCCAGGAAGUUCAACAUACAUAUGUCUACCCUGCUACUUCCUGCCUGGGAAGGGUGUUGACUAUCCUGAACCAAAUGGAACCCUCUUUCCAAGAUUCUUGCUCUAACUCAAGAGCUGAGUAUGUGACUCCGGGUCUCACUUCAGCCCCAGAGGCUGGCGAGACAGGCAGGGGAAUUGGGGCAAGAGGCAGUAGCCUUUUUGCUCCCCUGCCAAGCACAGGAGUGGGCUUCCCAUGGCUGCUCCUCAGCCUCAUUUCCAAUCACUCACCAUGGAAGGUAAUGGGAAAGUGCCUGAAUUACAAAGAUGCCCAUUUAUUACCCAGGCUGCUCCUCCACAAAGCAUCUCUUUUCCCCUUUGGCAAGAACAGAUCACUAUUGACACUUUUAGAAGGCCCUGGGCCCCUCUCAAUUAUUGGCCUAAUCGCUGCCUCCACUGAAAGCAGGGUUCUUUCCUAACUAGAUUUUUUAGAAAGUUAAGAGGCUAGUCUUUGCUUUAUUCAUUGGAGUGACUUCAUGGGCUAAUGUAUUCUCCCGUCAGUAUUUUACAUCAAUUCAGCAACAUCUGCAGGAUAUGAAAAAAACAGAAACCAGAUGUUUCCAAAAGGUAGUUUCACUCAUCCUCCUUACCAUAAUUAUUGCAGUAUUGCAUCCACAUUUUAUUGUAUCUCUCCUAUAUUUAUAUGCUGUUAACUUUUCCUGUAGAAAUUAAAACUGGUGCAUCUGAGUUCCUUCUAAACAGAUUUGUGGUCUUAAAAAAAUAAUUGACAAAUAUCCUCCAUUAAAUCCAGAUUUCCUUUAUCAAAUCUUGGAGAGGAAAAUAGAUUAAGAAGAUGUGGAUAUUUAUCUCAACCUUCAACAUUUACACUCAUUUAGUUAAUUAGCACUUAAUUACACUGUCAAAGGGGAAAAUGUUACCAUGGACAGGACACAGUGGGCCCCACCCCUCAGGCCCAUGCUUCUACUAAAAGGCAGACCUUUGCUUAGAGCCAGCUUGCUCCUACAUGAAACAUUUGUAAUGAUUACUUGACAGGGGGUACAGAUACCAGAUUGCGCAAGAGAGAGCCAUCAUUCACUAGAGCCUGGAUAGCACUCCCAAGCUGGAGCAACAGUGCCCCCCAAAGCAAGUUGCCAGAAGCAUCCAGAGAGCAAACUCUGAGCUGCUCAAAUGUCUAAUUCUUUUUGCUUUACAAGCCAAGGAGCUAUUUUAAGAACUGCUGGCCAAAAGGCAGCCUCUAUCACAACCAGAUGAGCAUUCCAACCAAGCUGGGGAGCCACGGCUGAAAACGGAGACUGUUUCCACCUAUUUUAACUCAGACGCCACGAAUUCUCUGAGGAGGGCACAGAGGCUGGAGUGGAGAGAGCAACAGAGACAUAGAGAAGUGGACAACUUUAGAAGUUUGUCAAACUUGAGACAACAAAAUAUAAUUAGCUUAACAAAUAAAUCUUAUUAACUGAAAUGCAAUGAAAAAUCUGCUUGUCAUCAGGGUUUCUCCAUCUUUUAACAAAUGGCAAUGGUUUUUGGUCUCACAGGUUCUUUGCCAAGUAGAAGACCUCAUUAAAGCUGUUGGAAAAUAAUAGAAUUCUAAUUAGCUAAUUAUGAUAUGAAAAAUUAUCAACCCAAUUCACAAAAACAAUAUGCAAUUAACCUUUUUUUCUUAAGUCAAACUAUUUUCCAAAACAGGAAAUGAAGGAUAACACUCUUAAUUUCAUCAUGAGGGCGAAACUCCUAGACACCCUGAUGCAGUGGUGUAAUGAGCAUGUAAUGAAACCAACAGUUCCCACUCCCCAGCAACUCCCUUUGUGUAUUGACUGCACAGCCUUUUGGCUCCAAGAAUGGAAACUGCAUUAAACUGGAGGCUCAUUCAGAUUUUCCCUCUCAAGUUCUAAGUCCUGUUUUCUAUUUUCCUUUCUAUCUUGGAAUAGGAUCCCCUAUAAAAGAUGAAAUAUUGCUUUCUUAAAAGACAAUGAACUUAUGAUGUAAUGUCAACAUGCUUGAGUUCUUACACUGCUAUUGGGAUUAUUAAAAAGGGAAAAUAAUGUAGUAUUGGAAUUAAGGAAUGUAAGCCAGGAAGUCGGAAAUCUAAAAUUUUGAAAUCAAACUACAUAAUCAAUAACACAAUAGUAAAAUCUAUGGCAGGACAAUAUAUUGAUUACUUGGGAUGUAGAAAUGUGUUACAAAUAUAUUUAAAAAUCUUUCUCACUCCCUAAAAAGUCUUCACAACAAAAAUCAUACCCAUAUAUGCCUAUUAGAAUUAGAAACAAUGAUAAUAGAAAGUGUUUGUAGAGAAGGGAAGAAAUCAGAACCCUUUUUGCAUUUUUAAAGAAGAAUAUAAGAUACUAUCACUUUAAAAAACUGUUUUCUGACAUCUGUUAAAUAAGCAAAUAUGUUCUAACUGAGUACACACAUCUAUCAAAGGCAUGUACCAGGAUGUUUAUAACAGCUUUAGUCAUAAUAUCUUGAGAGCUGACACAACACAAAAUCUAUCAAGAGUAAGACAAAUUGUGAAAUAGCCACACUUCUUCUUAACCCAAAAGAAUGCAUGCAGUGCUUGCUUAUAUUUUGUUCAAAAGUAAACAAAAUUAAUCAAAGGGACAAAGGGUAUCAUGAUAGUUGGGGAAAUUUUAGCUAGUGUACCCAGAAAGCUUCUCAGGGGGUGAUAUUUGAACUGAGGUGUGCUAAUGACAAUUGGGUAGAAUCUGGGACAGAAGUUCUGUGUGGAGAAUGAAAGGCAAGUGCCAAGGAUUAAUCACUCCUGGAAGAAGAUAAGAAAGAUGUCUAGCGUAUGCUGGCAUUAUAUUGAAUCCAGGUGGUAGAUUGUGUGUGGGGGGGGGGAAUGUUUACAUAUACAUAUAUAUAAUGAUAAAUAUCUAUGAGAAUACAAUAUGCCAAGUACUUAAGUUGUAGGUAUGCUAUACAAACAAUAUAUGUAAAAAUCUCCCACCCCCUAAAAUACCUCCACAUGUAUGCCUAUCAGAAUGGCUGAAAUUAAAAGAAUUAUAUUAGCAACUGUUUGUAAAGAAAGGAAGAAAUUAGAAGCCUUUUGCAUUUUAGAUGGGAAAUGUAUCUGCUCAUGUAACUUAACAAGUAAUAUUUGUGUGCUUUAUGUAUACCCCCAAAAAAGAGUAAAAGCAAAGACCAAUAUCCAUUCAUAUUCCAGGCCACGUCUUCUACCUCAAAACUCAGCUUUCAUUUAUUUUGCCCCAUCCCCUUUAUAGACUCCAGUUUAGCCUUUGUAUCUUUACCUUGUAAUGUACUCAGCACAUGGUGACCAUACAGAACUUCUCUCCUAGAUUCCCUGAAAUUGUUGUAAGUAUAUCUGAAUACAAAUGCUACCUCCUGAAAGGAUUUCUGACCAUCCUUGCCAAUAUUCUGGUACUACUAUCUCUCUGUAGUCUGUUGUCCUACUUAAAAUUAUUCUCAAUUUUGACCCUACCUUAUCUUAUCAUGUUCUACAUAUCCUGAUUGCUUAUUUGUUGACUUUGAGUGUCUACUAAAAUGUAUGCUCCUUGAGAGAGUGGACAAAUGCUGUCCUAUAUGUUACUGUACCUCUAGUGUCUAGGAUAGAGUCCAGUAUUUAGUAGAGAGUCAAAACAUACUUAAUGAUUGAGGAGAAUAGACAGAUUGUUUCCCUCAACAACUAACAGAAGGGGACAGGGUUGGUUAAUCAAAACUAAGAAUAUAUGAAAAACCCCUAUGGAAAGCCACUACUUUGUAAGAUAAUUGAGAAUACAAUUAAAACUAUAGACAGAGCUCAAACACAGAUACCCUGCAAGGGUAGAAAACGAUUCCCCUAGAAGAUAUGAAUUAUUAAAUGAAAAUCUCUCAGUACCAGGCAUGGGAUACUUGCCUAUAAGUUACUGAUCAGAGAGACCCUCAAGAAGUCCAUCAAAAUGACAUGUCUUUUGCCGCUACUCUUGGCAUCAGAAUCAGAUGGUAAAAUCUUAUUCUGAAAAUACAACCUAUUUCAGUUGCAGGACAUAGAGAAAUAAAGUUGGCAAUUACUGAAAACUUUCUCCCUGCUGACUAGCUUUCAUAGUGAUGAAAAGUGAUACCCAGGGCCCUCUUCAGAGAGAAAAUACACCAAUGGUAUUCCUGAAGCUAGCCCUGCACAUCAUGAUAGCAAUGAGCAGGCAAAUGUUCCUAUGAGUACAGUAGUAGCACAAGGGUUAUGAGUACAACUAAUCACUUUCUGAUUGAAUUUGAGCCUAUUCCACAGGUAAGAAUUUAGGUCUGGUUCUGAAAGCCUGGUCAAAAGCUCUGAGAGUCAUAAACUCUAGAGAGUAACUUACUACUGCUGUUGUUCUAAAAGAAAAAAAGACAAAGGCUAAUAAAUAUGGUAAAAUGAACAAGGUAAAAUGACUGGGGAUUCUGGGUAGAUGAACAUGUUUGAUAGUUACCUACCUAAAUCUGGUUGAAAGGUUGGACAGACAAAUGAAAGUAUAAUUAGCAAUCCAAAACAGCGAGGAACCAGAGGAGUAACCUCAGAAGAGGAAGCCUCCAAGUUAGGUCAGCAUAGUUAAGGGACUUUGCAGAAGAACUGACAACGCUCUGUAGAAGGAAGAGAAAUCAGUAGAGACAGCCAUAGAUCCUAAAUAAUGAAGUUGGGUCAACAAUGAACUGAGAUAGGAAAACCCUAUGAUUUGGGCUACCUGGUUCCCAAACUGACUUUGUUCUUAUUUUAGUUACUGUUCUGUUUUUAAAGAAGGUUUUGGAUGGGGCUUAAUAAUGACCAGCAAACAAUCCUUCUCCAGACAUCAGCAGCUUAUAUAAUGGAUUAAAUGUAUACUUACCUUCUUGAGCCUAUGGUCUGAAUCAACUAUAAGAAAUUUUAAUAGUGUCACUGGCAAGAUGGAAAUUUAAAGAAUAUAUUCCUUAUAGGGAAAUGGAACUGUUGCAUAUGAAAUAGACCAAAAUCUGUGAAAAUAUCAAAACAAAACAAAAACUAAUUUCGAUCUAUGAAUCUUUCUAAAUAAAUGUUCUUUUUCCCCUCAGAGUAGAAAGGAAUUCUUUGACCAGAUUGAGCACUUUUUUCCAAGGGAGAAGUAUGCAUGUGUGUACACAUGUGUACACAGUGUGUGUGUGUGUGUGUGUGUGUGUGUGUGUGUGUGUGUGUGUGUGUGUGUGUGUGUGUACUAGAUAAGCUCAGACUACCAGGAGAACUGUGCAAGCAAAGGCGAAGAUAAAGUCUGCUGAUGCCAAUUGUUCUUCAUUUGAAUACAGCUUGGAGUUGGAGCUGGAAAAAAAGCAGCAGGGCUUGAUUCAGUUGUUAUGUUUUCAGAAAUGAUUCAUUUCCUUUCACUGCACAGCUGGAAGCUCAGAGAUGAAUACUUUGGAAUAGGGGGUUCAGUUGGAAGCAAUUUGCCUCUGAGCUCAUAGACGGCUUAUCAGCCAUCCAGACCUGAGGUUAGGAUAGAAGAUUGGCAGUGACACCCUUAGGUUAUAAAACCAACCACUGAGAUUCCAGCAGAUUUCUCCAGUGGACUCUCCUUCUGUCCACAGGGCUGGAAAAGUGGGGACUUGGCUCUACAGGACCCACCUUAUGAGUCCCUCACUUGUGUUUCCUUUUGGGCAGGGAGUUGGCUACAAUUUUUCAGAAAAACAUCAAGGGCUAAGGAUAUUACUGUUUGAAAAAUCUUUGUGUUCCCAUGAAUCUCGGGAAAGUUCCAGCUACCACACAUUGCAGAUGAAUCCCCACAGUCGGGACACUUAGUGCAUUUACUUAGAGUCAAGUAUAAAGAGGAGAGGUGAAGAAAAGAUGAUAGAGAAUAAGAAAAUACCUUCCAUGAUGUGAAGUGGUAGGAAAAACACCACACAAAAUAUUAAAAUUCUGCUUUCACUGUUUGUGCCAGACUGUGUCUAUAUCUUGCCAAUGAAUACUUGCUAUGUCUCACUUUUAUUUAAAAUGAUUCUCUGAAACAUAUAGUAUAUGACAUCAGUUCUCCACUCUGAAUCAACAGCUCCAUGAUGAGGAUAAACUGUUCUAUCUGGAAGUUGCCAUUUAAAAGUUCAUGCCAUGCACAGUUAAUCUCACUAUUCAGCUCCACCCACAACUACCUUUACAAAUCUUUCUCUUUGCAUGGAAAAAAUCAGCCACCCUGAGUUUUUCGCUAUUCCCUGAAAACCAAGUGAACCCCUUCCUCUGAGCAUUUGACCCUAUGUCUCUCAAACAAUACUAUCACCUUCUUUGCCAUUGUCAUUUCUCUAAAUACUUCUUGACCCAAGCACACAUCAUUCCUGGCCUCUUUCUUUUAUAUUCACUGAGAGUGUCCUUGAUGAAUCAAUGGUUGUGCACUUUCCGGUGUUCCCACCACAGUUGAUACAUGCCAUCCAUAGUUAUUGUUAAGCAUGUUAAUGGAAACACUAAACGCAAAGAAACUUCAGCUCGGGCAAAACUGGGACAUAGGCCAUCUUCAUUAGGUCCUUCUGGCAUCCAGCUUUCAAAUCAAUCCCUGUAAGUUCUGCUUCUAAACUAUAGGCCUAAUCUAACUUUUCUUGUUCCUCACCUUGUCACUGCUUCCACCCCUCCAUCACUGCUCAUCUCACAUCAAAAUGUGUCCUGGUUUUCCUGUUUGUCCCUAACUUUUCCCUUCUGCACACCAUAACGAAAUGGUAAACUGGGUCAUCUCAAAUUCUGUCUGAAAACUCUCCAGUGUUUUCCCACUGUUCUUAAAAGGAAGCCUGAGUCCUGGAUAGCUUCAAGGUCCUAUGUGUGUAACAUUUGCCCUUCUCUGUAUCAUCUUCCCUAAGUUGCUCUUUCUCAUUGCAUUGUUAUCACAUAGGUCCCUAAAUUGCUCUACAAAGGUCUGCAUUCUGACCCACCUUAAAGCCCUUUGCCUGACAGUUAUUCAGUUGGGAAUUCUCCUUAUUCAUUUUAAACAAAGGUCUAUCUUGUCAUCUCUCACAUUUCAGCUCAAAAUUCCCCAUUACAUAGAAAAAAUUCUGAUCACCUCAUUUAAGGCCAUCUUAUUCACAUCAUUAUGACCAGUUGCAGCAUCCUGUAUGGCCAGGUUCCAUUAAAUACGUUUUGCCUUCCUGAUUAGCUUCUUUGUAGAUGUUCUGAUUUAUUUUUAACUGGAUAUUCAAAGUGGGUCCUCCACAGAAUAAUAGAAUUUUCGUUGUAUAUCAGCUGCCUCUCUGGUUCCUUGCCCUGUGAUCCCUGGAUUUCCAUCCAUAUUUCAUUCCAGGGUCUUCUCUCUCGAGGUCACCAUCUGGAAAUUUUCUUGAGGUUGUAACUUCAGUAGAAGAGGGCUCAUCUGACCUUGUCUCUCAGCAUCAUUGUCCUUUGAUGCUAUAUCCAGUGUGUCAAAAUAGCAAUUUUUUGUACUUUUUAAUAUCUAACUGUUGUGAGAAUAGAGAAUGUCCAGUCAAUUUUACUUGAUUUGGUCUGGAAGAAGAAGUCCCUUGGUGUAUAUGAACAUAACAUAAUCCAAUUCCUCAAGCUCACUGUCUAAGGAAUAAUUAUAAUGGGUAAUAAAAUGGUAAGUAGAUGGGGUGGGAAAGAGAGAAAGAAAAAUGUAUCAUUAAAUCCCACACCUUAGCUAUCCUGGGUUGGUUAUUAGGAAGUAGAAAAGGAAAUUGUGGUCGUGUUAAUUAUUGCCUUAUUUAGAGUACAUGGCAUAUGUUGUGCUAAAUAGAACUUUUUCCAUUUGGGUGAGAAUGAAGUAGAGUUCAGUAAGGUGAAAGCAAACCUAACCCCUCUCAAGCCUCUUCUCUCCUUAAGUGAUGUGUCCCUCCCCACCAUGGAGGCCAUCUGUGAACACAAUAGAUGUGAGCACUUCACGGGGUGUGCUCAUUAUACCACAAACAUAGAACAGGGACUGGGCAACCACAGGGCAACACGGAAAAUUGUUUUAUAAGCCGACUUUUACAAAUUGAUUUCAAAACUGGGGAGCAAUUACCAUUAAGAAAAUAAUUUGCUGCUCUGAAGAGGGUAGGGCAAGGCAGUGGUUCAAAGAUAACCUAAGCCAUCAUUAGAGAAAUCCAGUUAUUUAGUCAAUUUUACUUAUUUACAGGACUAAAGAUUAAUGAGUACAGAUACUCUCUCAGACAGUAAUUAGGUUUCAAAAACAUACUAUAACACAAUCAAUCAUGGCUCUUGAACAUAAUGGCAUUAGGGCAGAGCCCUCUUUCAGCUCCAGUUAUUAGCGAGUGAUUGGUGAACAGCGAGCUUAUGCUCAGAGCCCACCCCAGGGCCCUGCAAUAAAAUGAAAGAAAAGCUUUGGAAAAUAGAACGCAUCUUUUAUCCUUUGUUCUUUGCCUGCAUAUUCUGAGCUACUAUACUCAGGAAUCUGGAACACAACUUCAAGAUUGGUAGCAUUUCAAUAUAGUUGGCAAUUUACUCUUGAUUUGUCUUUACUUGAUAGCCUACCUCUAUAUAGUUAUUUGAAUCUAGUUUGGGGGGUAAUACUAUGCUUUUAUUUCUAAUUUUUAAAAUUUACUUUCUCUAGACCUUACCAAUAAAAAUAAGCUUGAGUUUUUAUAGAUAUAUUUAGGGCAGCAUAGCACCUAAGUAAAAGACAGAUGAAUGAAAAUAAUCAAGGCUAAGGCAUUUCUCAUAUCUGCCCUUAUUUAGAAAAGGACAGCUCCUCUGGUCACUAACCAGGGAUGCUGACUGAUGGUCUAAGUCCCAGACUCAUGAAUAGUAACUAGAAAAAAGGAAAGACCAGGACACUUUUGGAAUUUUCACAGAAAAGUUGCAAAAAUAAUGGAGUCCAAUGUUUCUACCCUCUGCAUGAUUCCUCUAAUGCCAAUGCCUCACAAGACUUUGACAUCUCUGCAGCUAUGAUAAAUAAGGUGCUAAGGCCAUUUCCUCCCCUUCUCCAUGUCUGAAGCAAGCUGUGAUGCUGGCUUCCUACUCUAAAGGGAAGGCAAGAAUGAAGCUCAAGAAAGUGUCUCUACUAUUAUCUGGACUUCUAUAAAGACUAUUUUCCUGUUAUGGUCCAUUUUAAUUUAGUCAUCUCUCCCCAAUUUUUAAUAACCAUUGCUCCCAUACUGCUUUUCUCCAUGACCUCAGUUUUAUAUCAAUGUAUCCAGCAAGCACAUCAGCUCACGCUGUGCUGCAGGCACACACUAGAUCCCCUCAAAAGACACAUAUGCUUUUCCUCAUGAAAUCACAGUGCCGUUGUUGAAUUUGUAAUUUUACUCUUCAUAUUUUUCCCUUGAUUUAUUCAAUGGUUAGCGUAUUUCUCUAUGGUUAUUUGUCUAGAGCUCAUGUACUAUUUUUAGAGAGUAUCAGACUUUCUCCUGCAUUUCAUCUUUUCUUACAGAUUAUGCCAUCUAUGGAAUUAAUAUAAGACUGUGUAAUGUGGGCUUUGAGCCACAAGAUUUAAAAAACAAUUUAAAAUAAAAAAUAUUAGUAUCAUGUAAUCUAACUAUUGUUUGAUUUCUGAAACAACAAACAAGUGGUUUUACUUGGCUUUCUUUAAACUAACCUUGUUUCUGUUUAGAUCUACAAAUCCUCCAGCAAUGUGAAAGUAUUUGGUGAAAAUAAAGUAACAGAGAAUUGAUACCUAUUUUCCUACAUAGCUUUUUCCAACUAAUUCUUCCCUAAGGGGAAAAGAUGUCUUUAAACUUUGAAAUUCAGUCAUGAGGUAGACAACUUCAGUAGAAAACUGAGACUUGCAUUUGAUGUUUGGUUUCUGUGAGACUCAAUCAGCUGCCAUUCUGAAUAAGCUGGAGCAAGUUUCUUAUGUCCUUUGCCAGGCUUCCUACGGAGACCAGUGCAAGGUCUGUGGAACUGCCAGGAUUCCAGCUCUAAAAAAAAAAGAGUUCUGUCAACAGGCAUUGAUUGCAAGUGCCAGUAAAGGCAACCCUUGAUGUGUCUCCCUACACGAAUAUGGCCAGCACUCUCAUGCACUAUAAGUCAGGCUUUCCUCAUUCGUUCAACAUUAAGAAGGGCAGAAAGUUGCAGGAGACCAGGAAAGAGUGCUGUCCCUACAGAAUGCCCAAUAAGCCCUUGGCAUCAAACUAUACUUGUUCAGAAAAAAAAUAGUAUAUGGAUCCUUCAUUCUUAUUGCUGUCCUCUUUUCAAAAACUUUCACUUCCUUCCUUCCCAACCUCAUUCAUCUUUCAAUGCCCCAUACUAUCCUUUCUCCUUUUACUUGAAAUGUACAAUUUUAUCACAUACUAUGUUGCAUUUGAAACUUCAGGUUGGUGUCUGUUCACUCUGAUCCAGUUUCUAAGUGGUCUUAAGUUUGAAAAAAAAACUGUCUUCCGUAUUUUAUCAGUCCUUUCAACUGGAAUGAAAACAUCAUGAGGACACUUAAGACUUGUUUACUGAAGUAUGAGUUUCAUUUAACAGAUAAUGGGGAUUAUAAGAGGUCAAAAGAUAAUAAUAUUUGAUACCUGGGAGGGAAAAUUGGAAGUCUCCUCACAAUGCUUGGUACAGUGCCUAUAUUAAGUUAUCAUGAUGACUGUCUAGUCUCAAGAGUCUGAACAUACAUGCUAGCCAGGAAUUAACCAUGUUAAGCUAACUUCCAAAAACAGUUGACUAAAAUGUUAAAUAAUAAAUAGAGAAAGCCAUGUAGGACAGCUUUUACUAUAUCAUUGUCUGAGUAAUUCUUGAACACAAGUUUCAUGAUUUUAUGUAAUAUUCUGAGGGAAAAUAACUGAAUGACACUCAAUUGUUUUGAUCUGGUGGCACCACUACUACUAUUAAUCACGAAAUAGCAUACUGGAUAAGAACAGUAUAGUUCUGUUUCCUCUUAUAUUCGUGUUACAAAUGUGAAAUUAAUUUUCCUUAAGCACAUUUUGUUUUACAAAACUAAACACAAAUGUUUUUCUUAUUAUAAAAUUUGUAUCUUGUGUCCUAAAUUUUUUAACUUUGCUGGAAGCAAGUUUAGUUUAGCAUAUCUUGCUCCAGGCACACUCAUUUUAUUGGCUUUCACAUUUCUAGAAGAAUCAAGCAUGAUCACAUUGUGUGUAUUAUCCUUUUCUUCAUGUAUUCAGAUAUAAAUGUUUCCAAUUGUACAAAGUAACUAGAAAUCAAAUGAGACUACAAAGAUAGAAUUGUUCCUCGGUAUUCACACAAGAUCAGUCCCAGUACCUCAUCUGGAUGCCCAAAUCCAUGAAUGUUCAAGUUUCUUACAUAAAAUUCUGUAGUAUUAGAAUAUAACUUAUGUGAUUCUCCCAUGCACAUUACUUAUUUGUUCAUUUAUUUGUUUAUUGAGGCAGGGUCUCAUGUGUGAAAUUUCUUUGCAUGUUUGUAACUCCACCUAAGGGGAUCCCCCAUACGGCAAACACAGCCUAAGCUACUUAUCAAGACUUUUGUAGUCUUAACUAGCCUGAAACUUGGUAUGUACAAUCCUCAAACUCAUAUAGGUCCACCUAUUGCCAUCUCCCAUGUGCCAUCAGACUUGGUACUCCCACGAACUCUCAAAUCAUCUAUAAAGGGGCUCAUAGACACCCCUGUUCUGAUAAAUCUUUUUGCCAAAAGCCGCCUGAGCCCCACCGCCACGAGCGAGCUUUACACCAGCCAACCGCCCGAGUUAGGCCCAAAUGAAUACACAGAGAGACUUGUAUUAGUUACAAAGCUGCUUGGCCAAUGACUAGGACUCUCAUCUGUUAGCUCAGUCUCAAUUAUCAUACAUCUAUAUAUUUUAUGGGACUUAUCUUAUCAGACACCUUAUUGGCGUCCCUCCUUGCUGGUGAAUCACAUCGUGCCGCUGGAGCAGGAGCCGAGGGGAAAGAGAGAGCAACACUUCCUUUUUCCUCUUCUUAAAUAUGAGUCUCCUUGCAAUGUCACUUCCUGUCUGGAACACCACUUCUCUACUACAUUUCCCAGAAUCCUCUUUGACUCUUAGUCCAGCCUAACCUGCUGUCUCAUUGGCCAAGCAAGUACUUUAUUUAUAAACAUACACAGAAGUAUUUCCCCCAUCA
RNAcentral lists this long non-coding RNA (30218 nucleotides) under Cricetulus griseus (Chinese hamster). RNAcentral describes it as "lncRNA (ENSCGRG00015042854.1)". Lineage: Eukaryota; Metazoa; Chordata; Mammalia; Rodentia; Cricetidae. The record is from RNAcentral.